Drosophila erecta is the source of this 559-nucleotide long non-coding RNA. RefSeq lists it as uncharacterized. NCBI's taxonomy places the organism in Eukaryota, Metazoa, Arthropoda, Insecta, Diptera, Drosophilidae. The record is from RefSeq and is a predicted model, not a curated record. The transcript has 2 exons.
AAAUUAGUCAUAUUUCGAACGCGAGUGUGGCAUCACUGUUUCUUAGCGCGGGAGAGAUGACAAGGCAGAUAAUGACUGAGCGAUGAUGCGCGCAUGUGUCAAUGAGAUCGCGACGUGGACUACGACGUCGACGUACCAGAGUUUACCUGACUCUGCGGUCCUUUUUUUUACCUAAACGAAUUUCUCGAUUUCGAUUAAACAAAGCUUCUAAAUUUCCAAGACACGGGAUAUAACGGAUGGUUUUCUCAAAAUUUUCCACAGUUUGUGAACACGUGUAACGGAACGACGAUUUUAUAGCUGACGAAAUACCAGGAACGAUUAGCUCAGGAUCAUCUAUAAUGCCUAGACAGAAAGCAUUAAUCAACCGAUAGAUUACAAAUGGCAUGCCCCAAUGCAAUAAUCGCGGACCCUUCAACCCAAAUAGAUCACGAUAGCGAGCGAGCCCCGAACUGAUAAGACCUUGCCGGAGGGGUAGUGAGCUGUAUCUGUGUUACACUAGGGGGUAUGUAUCAAAAUAUUUGUGAUAAGCGAGGAAACUCCAAAAAUAUGAUUGCCUGGA